RNAcentral lists this long non-coding RNA (2980 nucleotides) under Sus scrofa (pig). RNAcentral describes it as "lncRNA (ENSSSCG00055007244.1)". Lineage: Eukaryota; Metazoa; Chordata; Mammalia; Artiodactyla; Suidae. The record is from RNAcentral.
CUUUUUUUUUUUUUUUUUUUUUGUCUUUUUUGCUCUUUCUUGGGCCGCUCCCGUGGCAUAUGGAGGUUCCCAGGCUAGGAGCUGUAGCCACCGGCCUACGCCAGAGCCACAGCAACGCGGGAUCUGAGCCACAUCUGCAACCUACACCACAGAUCACGGCAACCCCGGAUCAUUAACCCACUGAGCGAGGGCAGGGACCGAACCCACAACCUCAUGGUUCCUAGUCAGAUUCGUUAACCACUGCGCCACGACGGGAACUCCGAUGUCUUUUUUUUUUAACAUCUUCAUAUUUAGAUCUGUAAUCUGGCUUAUUUAAGUGACUGCUUUCCAAUUGUUGUUUUCUCCAUCCUAGAUUUCCCUCUUUUUGUUUUUUAAUUUAGUGAAGCCCUUUCAGUAUUUCUUUUAGAAUGGGUUUUGUAUUGCUGUACCCUUUUAGCUUUUGUUUGUUGGCGAAAUUCUUUAUUUCCCCUUCUGUUUUAAAUGAUAUUCUUGUUGGAUAGAUGUUAUAGGUUGCAAAUUUUUACCCUUCAGCACUUUAAAUAUAUCUUGCCACUCCCUUCUGGCCUGUAGUGUUUCUGUAGAGAAAUCAGCUGAUAGCCUUAUGGGGGUUCCCUUAUAAUUAAUGCUUUGCUUUUCUCUUGCUGCCUUUAGAAUCCUCUCUUUAACUUUUGCCAUUUUUAUUAUAAUAUGCCUUGGUGUGGGCCUGUUUGGGUUCUGCUUGUUUGGGGCCCUCUGUGCUUCCUGUAUCUUGAUAUCAGUAUGCUUUAGAUUUGGAAAGUUUUGAGCUAUAAUUUCUUCAAAUAUAUUUUCAAUCCCCUUUUCUUCUUCUUUUCCUUCUGGAAUUCCUAUUAUGCAUAUAUUGGCCUGCUUUAUAUUAUCCCAUAGGUCUCUUAUAUUGCUUUCAUGUUUUUUCAUUUGGUUUUCUGUCUGCUGUCCUGACUGGGUGAUUUCCAUUAUUCUUCCACAUCACUAAUUCGUUCCUAUGCAUUUUUCAUUCUGCUCUUUAUUGCCUUAAGCUCAGUUUGUAUUUCUGCAAAUGAAUUUUCUAGUUUUUCUUGGCUCCUCCUUAUAUUUUCUAGGUCCUUUCUAAAGGAAUCUGCAUUACUGUUAAUAUCCUCUCAAUUUCUUCAGGACUUUCAAUACCUCCCUUUUGAACUCAUGUCUGACAGACUGCAGAGGUCUGUAUCAUUGUUGACUGCUUUAGGUGAAUUCUCCUGUUGCUUUAACUGGGAAUGCUUUCUGUGCUUCUUCAUCUUGCUUGUGUUUUUCUUUUUCUGUGAGUUUGGGGAAGCCAAACUGUAGUCUUGUAAGACUACUUCUAUGCAAGAAUACCCUUUUGUGUUUUUCAGAGGGUUACUAUUUAUUUUUGGUGUGGGAGUUUGAAUAUUUGCUGUCUCUUUCUUCAGUUUGAGCAGGCUGUUGUUCCCAGAAUGCUCAGUGUGUUUUCAGGGAGACGGAGGCAAUGGGUAGGGCCAGAAGUCAGUGCCGAGUUGUUUGGCUCUCAAUAACAGCAAGGACCUGCAGGAUGGUGCCACAGGCUACUUCUAGUUGCAGGGUAGACAUCUUCUCAUAUGUUUUUUUGCCACCUGUAUAUCUUACCACAGCUUCUUUAGCCAUUCAUCCAUCAAUGGAUAUGUAUGGAUACUUGGGUUGUUUAUCUGCCUUGGGUAUUGUAAAUGAUGUUGUUAAGAACAUGCCUAUAAAAUUGGAUUGUGAUGAUCAUUGUAUAACUAUAAAUGUAAUAAAUUCCUUGAGUAAUUUAAAAAAAGAACAUGGAGGUACAGUUAUAUUUUUGAGUUUGUUUCUGUCUGUUUUAGAUAUAUUUCUAGAAGUUGAAUUGCUAAAUCAUAUGGUAAUUCUAUCCCUAAAUAUUCAAAGAUCUUCUAUAUGGUGUUCCAUGGUAGCUAUACCCGUUUAAAAUCCCACCAACAGUGCACAAGUGCUCCUUGUCCUCCAUAUCCUUGCCAUAAUUUAUCUCCGGUCUUUUUGAUGGUGGCUUUUAAAAAUUCCAAUGUCUGAGGUCUUAAAAAUGAAACUUAAUAAUUCAAACUGUUACCCAGAGGCUGUAUAGAAAGAAUUACAAAAUAUAAAAUUAAAUUUUAUUGUAUGUAUAACGUGUGAAGUGAAUUUCCCGUAAAGAUGAGCUUGUUUUCUUUAUUGUUUGUUUCUGUGUUUUAAGAGUAAACUUUGGGAAAGUUCUGAGUACAUUUUAAUUUGGAUAAUAUAUAUCAUAUCAAAAAGAACUCCAAAAUGUAUGCCUGUCUUAUGUCAAAUGGUGUCCUUAAAGAGGUCCUACAGUGGAGGCUGAUAUUACCAUAAUUUACUCUAAUAUGCUUCUCUUUAACCUCUCUCUCCCUGUCUCUCUCUCUCCUUUCCUUCUUUCUUUCCUUCUCUUCCCAUUCUUUUCCUUUCCUAUCUUCCUCAUUCAUCCUUCUUUCCCUCCCUGUCAUUUCUUCUUCUUGACCAAAUUUCAAAUUGAAUCUACCUAGAAUAGAAAAGGAGAUUUUUGUAUUGUAUAUCAAUAGAUACUAUUCAUCUUUUCCCCUCUUUAUGGACUCACUGAAAGUGGAAGAGAGGAGUGGAGAGCAGACCAGUGAUUUCACACAAAUAUUCUUUCUGCAUUAAAUCAUUUGUGUAUUGAGAUAUAGUUUAUAAAAAUGCACACACACACACCAUACACAUACACACAAAAUGUGUAUGCUCUCACACUGUGAAAUAGAUAGUAAUUUUCAAACUUCUGCCCUUAAAAUUAAAUAAGGCCUAGUACAAAUAUUUUUCAAUGACAAAUUGAAUAACACACAAAAAAAUGAAGGUGCCAUAUAUCUGAUGCAUCUAUGGGUAAGCCAGCACCUAAUUCUACUCCAUAGCAAUAUUUAAGAACCCUAUCCUUCAAGUCUUUACAAUUUCCAUAAUAAAGAAAAGGAGAAACUUUUCUUUUUUUUGAGAGCCUCUUCAAACCUAGUUUCUUUGCCACUCAAGG